This is a long non-coding RNA of Mesocricetus auratus (golden hamster), 1182 nucleotides long. RefSeq lists it as uncharacterized. The record is from RefSeq and is a predicted model, not a curated record. NCBI's taxonomy places the organism in Eukaryota, Metazoa, Chordata, Mammalia, Rodentia, Cricetidae. The transcript has 2 exons.
CUAGUGACUGGUGGACCCCAUCAGAUAUACAUAGUGCCAAAGGGGAAUAUGAAGCUAGGUCCCCUUGCAGGGCCAACACGGAACUCCAUGGCUUGAAGCAUCUCCAGACAUCUGCCGCCUCCAAUGAACCACCUUUGAUUCUCGUGAAGGCCACACUGUAGGAUGGACAGGAUUCUGCAUCUAGAAGCUGUUGGAAAAACACCACUGCACCUUAAUUUCUCCCUGGGAUGGCCAUGAACUUGGAGCUGGAGCUUGUGGCCAAGGUUUCUUCUUUUGCAAGUCAGCUCAAUAGAAGGCUGCCCAGGGCAAGGGCUGGAGGACUAUUGCCCCACUCUGGAGCUGCUGUCAACUCUCUGCAUUGGGCUAAGGUCACUUGACUCAUUGGCCAAACCCUAGGAGCAGCUGAGGUACACUCUUGGGCCAACGCUGAGGAUGUUUUCUCCAGAGUCCAUUGGUCACCCAAGUGGGUUCCUGGCUGGGUUUCCAGGAAUUCCUCAGAUACUGUGUCAACCCAGAUGGUUGGCUCCACAGAUGGCCAUCUGGGCACAACUGCCUUGUGAGUCAGCAGCAUGCACACAGAAGGUUCUGUGUGGCAGCUGGAAGGGUGGGAGGCCAGCCAGCCACUCUUCCUGCCUUCCGCCAGCAUGGGGAACUCACAGAACAUGGGCUUUGGGGGACAGCGCUGGCCUUUAACUGAUCAGCAGUGAAUUCCCCAUUCUGUAAUGGAGUGGUCUAUGAAACACUUGAGUGGGUUGUGUUCCUCUUCUGCACUGAAUACCCUGGAGCUCCUUGAUGUACUUGAAACAUGACUUGAACUCAAGAGUUGCUCACAAACACCGUCACCCAUCUUCCCUGGUGCCCCUGAGAUACCAAUCCACCCAUCCUCCUUCCCCAGGUGCUAGCCCAUCAGCCCCUCUGCCUAAGGAUCCAUGAGAGUGCCAUUUCAGCACUACCUCCUCAGAGAGGCUUCACCUGUCCACCCUGUGUAACAGCCUCAUGACUUUCCAUUAUGCUUCUCACUUUAUCUUCUUUAUGACCGGAGAGCAAAGAAUGAGCAGGAAGUUCCUUAUCUGUCAUGACCCUCCUGUCAUUGCUAUGCCUAGGUCGGUACCCAACUCACAGAGGGUCCAUGAUAUACAUUUGUUGAAUAAAUAAUGAAAGACCCUCUUGAGAGGAAGCACA